This 460-nucleotide ribosomal RNA is filed under the name uncultured bacterium. RNAcentral describes it as "partial 16S ribosomal RNA". It matches the Rfam family "Bacterial small subunit ribosomal RNA", at positions 338 to 795 of the family's 1533-position model. The record is from RNAcentral.
CCUACGGGUGGCAGCAGUGAGGAAUAUUGGUCAAUGGACGCAAGUCUGAACCAGCCAUGCCGCGUGCAGGAAGACGGCUCUAUGAGUUGUAAACUGCUUUUGUACGAGGGUAAACUCAGGUACGCGUAUCUGUCUGAAAGUAUCGUACGAAUAAGGAUCGGCUAACUCCGUGCCAGCAGCCGCGGUAAUACGGAGGAUUCAAGCGUUAUCCGGAUUUAUUGGGUUUAAAGGGUGCGUAGGCGGUCGGAUAAGUUAGCGGUGAAAUCCCGAGGCUCAACUUCGGAAUUGCCUCUGAUACUGUUAGGCUAGAGAGCAGUUGCGGUAGGCGGAAUGUAUGGUGUAGCGGUGAAAUGCUUAGAGAUCAUACAGAACACCGAUUGCGAAGGCAGCUUACCAAGCUACGUCUGACGUUGAGGCACGAAAGCGUGGGGAGCAAACAGGAUUAGAUACCCGAGUAGUC